RNAcentral lists this ribosomal RNA (512 nucleotides) under Salmonella enterica subsp. enterica serovar Virginia. RNAcentral's name for it is "partial 23S ribosomal RNA". It matches the Rfam family "Bacterial large subunit ribosomal RNA", at positions 701 to 1211 of the family's 2925-position model. RNAcentral also lists the same sequence under 1 other name. Lineage: Bacteria; Pseudomonadati; Pseudomonadota; Gammaproteobacteria; Enterobacterales; Enterobacteriaceae. The record is from RNAcentral.
UGCAGGGUAUAGACCCGAAACCCGGUGAUCUAGCCAUGGGCAGGUUGAAGGUUGGGUAACACUAACUGGAGGACCGAACCGACUAAUGUUGAAAAAUUAGCGGAUGACCUGUGGCUGGGGGUGAAAGGCCAAUCAAACCGGGAGAUAGCUGGUUCUCCCCGAAAGCUAUUUAGGUAGCGCCUCGUGAAUUCAUCUCCGGGGGUAGAGCACUGUUUCGGCUAGGGGGCCAUCCCGGCUUACCAACCCGAUGCAAACUGCGAAUACCGGAGAAUGUUAUCACGGGAGACACACGGCGGGUGCUAACGUCCGUCGUGAAGAGGGAAACAACCCAGACCGCCAGCUAAGGUCCCAAAGUCAUGGUUAAGUGGGAAACGAUGUGGGAAGGCCCAGACAGCCAGGAUGUUGGCUUAGAAGCAGCCAUCAUUUAAAGAAAGCGUAAUAGCUCACUGGUCGAGUCGGCCUGCGCGGAAGAUGUAACGGGGCUAAACCAUGCACCGAAGCUGCGGCAGCGA